UCCUACGGGAGGCUGCAGUGGGGAAUCUUGCACAAUGGGCGAAAGCCUGAUGCAGCAACGCCGCGUGCGGGAAGACGGCCCUAGGGUUGUAAACCGCUUUCAGCAGGGAAGAAAAUGACGGUACCUGCAGAAGAAGGUGCGGCCAACUACGUGCCAGCAGCCGCGGUGACACGUAGGCACCAAGCGUUAUCCGGAUUUAUUGGGCGUAAAGAGCUCGUAGGCGGUUCGGUAAGUCGGGUGUGAAAACUCUGGGCUCAACCCAGAGAUGCCACCCGAUACUGCUGUGACUAGAGUGCAGUAGGGGAGUGGGGAAUUCAUGGUGUAGCGGUGAAAUGCGCAGAUAUCAUGAGGAACACCAGUGGCGAAGGCGCCACUCUGGGCUGUAACUGACGCUGAGGAGCGAAAGCGUGGGUAGCAAACAGGAUUAGAUACCCCUGUAGUCUA
RNAcentral lists this ribosomal RNA (444 nucleotides) under uncultured bacterium. RNAcentral describes it as "bacterial SSU rRNA". It matches the Rfam family "Bacterial small subunit ribosomal RNA", at positions 337 to 797 of the family's 1533-position model. The record is from RNAcentral.